CCUACGGGUGGCAGCAGUGGGGAAUAUUGCACAAUGGGGGGAACCCUGAUGCAGCGACGCCGCGUGGGUGAGGAAGUACCUCGGUAUGUAAAGCCCUAUUAGCAGGGAAGAAAAUGACGGUACCUGACUAAGAAGCCCCGGCUAACGACGUGCCAGCAGCCGUGGUAACACGUAGGGGGCAGGGGUUAUCCGGAUUUACCGGGUGUAAAGGGAGCGUAGACGGCGUGCCAAGUCCGGUGGGAAAGGCCGGGGGUCAACCCCGGGUCUGCAGUGGAAACUGGCAUGCUGGAGUGCGGGAGGGGCAAGCGGAAUGCGUGGUGUAGCGGUGAAAUGCGUAGAUAUUAGGAAGAACACCGGUGGCGAAGGCAGCGUGCUGGACGGUAACUGACGUUGAGGCUCGAAGGCGUGGGGAGCGAACAGGAUUAGAUACCCCAGUAGUC
RNAcentral lists this ribosomal RNA (440 nucleotides) under uncultured bacterium. RNAcentral's name for it is "partial 16S ribosomal RNA". It matches the Rfam family "Bacterial small subunit ribosomal RNA", at positions 338 to 795 of the family's 1533-position model. The record is from RNAcentral.